This 400-nucleotide unclassified non-coding RNA is filed under the name uncultured Geodermatophilaceae bacterium. RNAcentral describes it as "contains 16S-23S intergenic spacer region". It matches the Rfam family "Bacterial small subunit ribosomal RNA", at positions 750 to 1164 of the family's 1533-position model. Lineage: Bacteria; Bacillati; Actinomycetota; Actinomycetes; Geodermatophilales; Geodermatophilaceae. The record is from RNAcentral.
UCCCCGAUUUCCGGGGCAGUCUCCCUAGAGUUCCCGGCAUGACCCGAUGGGUGCUAGGUGUGGGUGGUGUCGACUCCAUCUGUGCCGAAGCUAACGCAUUAAGCACCCCGCCUGGGGAGUACGGCCGCAAGGCUAAAACUCAAAGGAAUUGACGGGGGCCCGCACAAGCGGCGGAGCAUGUUGCUUAAUUCGAUGCAACGCGAAGAACCUUACCUAGGCUUGACAUGCACGGAAAUCCUCCAGAGAUGGGGGGUCCGUAAGGGUCGUGCACAGGUGGUGCAUGGUUGUCGUCAGCUCGUGUCGUGAGAUGUUGGGUUAAGUCCCGCAACGAGCGCAACCCUCGUCCUAUGUUGCCAGCACGUGAUGGUGGGGACUCAUAGGAGACUGCCGGGGUCAACUC